RNAcentral lists this ribosomal RNA (485 nucleotides) under uncultured bacterium. RNAcentral describes it as "bacterial SSU rRNA". It matches the Rfam family "Bacterial small subunit ribosomal RNA", at positions 33 to 507 of the family's 1533-position model. The record is from RNAcentral.
GACGACGCUGGCGCGUGGAUUAGGCAUGCAAGUCGAACGGUAUCAUCCUUUCGGGGGUGAGAGAGUGGCGAACUGGUGAGUAACACGUAGGUUAUCUACCCUCAAGACGGGGACAACCCAGGGAAACUUGGGCUAAUACCGGAUGUGAGCAACUUUUAGUUGUUUGAAAGGUGGCGUAAGCUGUCGCUUGGGGAUGAGCCUGCGUCCUAUUAGUUAGUUGGUGAGGUAACGGCUCACCUAGGCAAUGAUAGGUAGGCGGCCUUAACGGGUGGUCGCCCACACUGGGAUUGAGAUACGGCCCAGACUCCUACGGGAGGCAGCAGUCGAGAAUAGUCUACAAUGGUCGGAAGACUGAUAGUGCGACGCCGCGUGAACGAUGAAUCCCUUCGGGGUGUAAAGUUCUUUUAUAUGUGAGCAGUGCUUCUUAUAUUAACAGUAUGGGGAGAGAGAUAUUAGCAUAUGAAUAAGCAACGGCUAACUCCGUG